RNAcentral lists this ribosomal RNA (587 nucleotides) under uncultured bacterium. RNAcentral's name for it is "bacterial SSU rRNA". It matches the Rfam family "Bacterial small subunit ribosomal RNA", at positions 338 to 916 of the family's 1533-position model. The record is from RNAcentral.
CCUACGGGAGGCAGCAGUAGGGAAUCUUCCGCAAUGGACGAAAGUCUGACGGAGCAACGCCGCGUGAACGAUGAAGGCCUUCGGGUCGUAAAGUUCUGUUGUCAGGGAAGAACAAGUAUCGGAGUAACUGCCGGUACCUUGACGGUACCUGACCAGAAAGCCACGGCUAACUACGUGCCAGCAGCCGCGGUAAUACGUAGGUGGCAAGCGUUGUCCGGAAUUAUUGGGCGUAAAGCGCGCGCAGGCGGUUCCUUAAGUCUGAUGUGAAAGCCCCCGGCUCAACCGGGGAGGGUCAUUGGAAACUGGGGAACUUGAGUGCAGAAGAGGAGAGCGGAAUUCCACGUGUAGCGGUGAAAUGCGUAGAGAUGUGGAGGAACACCAGUGGCGAAGGCGGCUCUCUGGUCUGUAACUGACGCUGAGGCGCGAAAGCGUGGGGAGCGAACAGGAUUAGAUACCCUGGUAGUCCACGCCGUAAACGAUGAGUGCUAAGUGUUAGAGGGUUUCCGCCCUUUAGUGCUGCAGCAAACGCAUUAAGCACUCCGCCUGGGGAGUACGGCCGCAAGGCUGAAACUCAAAGGAAUUGACGG